Long non-coding RNA from Hirundo rustica (Barn swallow), 585 nucleotides. RefSeq lists it as uncharacterized. The transcript is spliced from 4 exons. Lineage: Eukaryota; Metazoa; Chordata; Aves; Passeriformes; Hirundinidae. The record is from RefSeq and is a predicted model, not a curated record.
GGUUUCUGUCCUGGGACGUAAUCCCGUGGUUGGCAGUUCAUAAAAGGAACAUUCAUGUGAAUGAGUGCUCAUGAUCUUAUCCUCUGUGAAUUCACAGUGUACUGAUGAAAAAUUGCAGUGACAAACCCAUCACCUGGAACUGGGUUGCAUGACAUUUGGAAAACAGCUGUGCUGAAAGGAAAGCACAUGAGUUGAAAUCCUGGUCUAGAAAGCCACAUGAUCCUAUACAGUGCUUCCCCGGAUUGGGAUGUGAGCCCUUAAAUCCACUAAAAGUUUGGUACUCAGUCAUCUUUUGAGGAUCACCCUGUGAGUGACCUGUCUGAAGAUGGUGCUAUACAGCACUAGAAUCAGAAGCUGGGAGAGUCUGGCUCACCCUUGUCCAUCGACGACAACGGCUGUGGAAGGACUUCAGAGCAGAAAAUGCAGGGAAACUGGGUUCCGAUACUGAUCUGAACUGAAACAGACAGGAAAUACCAUAUUCGAAGCUUAGUGGGCACUGGCAAUUAUGGGUUUGUUUUUUUUUUUUUUUUUUUUAAGAACCUUAGUCUUUAAUAUGACCCACAUUAAGAAAAUACCCUAUUAAAU